Long non-coding RNA from Chrysemys picta bellii (western painted turtle), 9948 nucleotides. RefSeq lists it as uncharacterized. The record is from RefSeq and is a predicted model, not a curated record. Lineage: Eukaryota; Metazoa; Chordata; Testudines; Emydidae.
UCUCCACCUUCAGUGGGGUAAAACGGGGGAGGCAGGCAUAAGAUGACAUGCCAAAAAUGCUGCUUCUGAAUGCUUUUGACUGAAAAUCCCUGCAAGCAGCAGGGAGAUGACUGUCACAGUGCCCCUGCUGCCACCACAGGCAAAUGCUUUGCCACCCACUGAAAGAGGCUGGCUACUGCAGCUGAUCCAUUACAUAAUAAUGGCAGCUUUCCAGUAGGCAUAGACACAGAACAUGCCACAUCUGUCAUCAGAAUAAGCCUAGUUAAAGCGGCAACACUUCUAUCUAUGGACGAGGCCUCAAACAAGGAACCAGGAAUGCCCUGUACAGCCUCUGAAUUCCCCAAGAGAAGGAACAGAAUAACGGGGAACUAGGACCAGCUAGGUAAGAGUGUAACUGUUUGUUUUAUAUCUCGUAGGUGUCAAGCGAGGUUUAAUUCUUUGAUCUUUGUUAAGCAGCUGAGACUCGGCUGCCAGCUGUUCUGCAAAGGCUAAGGAUGAUUAUAGUGAAGUGUAACUGCCAAAGCAAACCCUUUUGUUUUGGGGGUACAUGGUCAUUUCCCCUGCCACAUGCUGAACAAGGAGAGGCCAGAUCACCAAAUAGAAGGUAUAUUUACCUAGAUAAGGUAAUAACAGAACUUUAGCACCCAGCGUUUGUCAAAGAUUUCUCUAUCUCCUCUGAGAGUCUUGUGGCUAGGAGCCUGAGGUCAGCAAGUACUUUGCUGGAGACUAGAGACGGCAUUUGUUCUAGAGCAGGUGGCAUGCUCAUUUCCGGAUACACCGUAAUUUGAAUGCAUGUGUGGUGGCAGAAGUGCUAAAAGAGUUUAGAGUUGUAGACUUGUUACACUAGAAGGUGACUCAGUUAACGAAACUCUAUCAGGACAACGUAGGCCCAAAACGGAGGUUUUAUAAAAAUCUUACUUGUCAGAAAGAAAAAUUCCCCUGCGGUGUCUGCAGCCUAAACAGUACAGUAUAGCUACUGACCGAGAACCACAAAAUGCAGCUAACUGUUCUCUCACUGAGUAUUGUCUCAUCUGUGUUUUACAGCCCAACCCUGCAGUUUCUACCAAGCAUAGCAUUCACUAUCCUGAUCAAUCCACUCAUUUCAAGUGUCUCCAUGGUUGGGCCCUUCAGCCAUGAUCCUGCAAACUUAAGUAUGUGAGUAGUCCCAUUGACUUCAAAGGGACUACUCGUGUGCCUAAAAAGUAAAGCAUGUGCAUAAGCAUUUGCAGGAUCAGGGAGUUAGAUCAAAAGCUCUUCAGAGCAGGAAUUGUCUUUAUUAAUGUUAGCUACCGUGGUACUUAAAUAAAUUCAAUAACAAUUAUUACAAAAGAGAAACUAACUCUGUUGUUAAUUGCUAAAGCGGAGAUUUGUAAUGCAAAUAAAUAGUGGAAAAAUAAAUUAGACAUUUAAAAUCCUUUGUUUUAAAGCUGUAAGUUAUUUGUACCACAGUUAAGGGCAUUUAAAAAUCAUAUAUAGAUAUAGCUAUAUAAUUUUUAGCUGCUAGCAUACUUUCAUUUAUCCCCCUCUCCAUACUUCUCUUUAUCAAACAAUAGAAAUAAUUAGGGUUAUGGUAGGGGAUUGCUAAUGGAAAAUUCUAGCUUUCUGGUUCAGGGCCAGAUAUUUUUUACCUCCUCUAAGUUUUAAAUUUAAAGUAAAAAUAUAUUUGAACUAGUUCAUGCCCACUGGUUGUUUGAGUCGUGUAUGUUCUUUGAGACAGUAUAUUCCUGCAAUGGAUGGUGACCUAGAAAUCCAGAUCAGAGGUAAUCCCCCAUUAUUUAGCCCUUUUACUAUUGGUAUGUUUGCCAAACAAUGCUCCAUGUCAGAUUUCACUGAUGACCUUAAGGGUGGUUGCCAAGGAUUUUGGAUUCCCCCCUAAAAAGAGAGUCCCAAUGAAGUUAUUACAUUCUUGGGCAUCAAGUUAGAUUGAGGGAGAAUUAAAUUACACUUUCAUGAGGUGCCAGGCACAGCUUUCACAGGCUGAUGCAAUCAUUAAUUUGUCACCUUGAUUUUGUUUGCAGAGCCAUUUCUCCAUGGCAGACUUUUUUUUACAAUGCCCGAUUGAAGCUAUAAUGAAAUGUUAAAAGUAAUGGCAUUAUUUUCUAGAGCUAUUAAGGGAGAAUCUGGCAUUUCCAAUGGUUGUUAUAGAGCAUUUAAUGUCAUAGGAUAACAACAACUUGUGUCCAACAAGGAUUUGUAGUUGUUUACAGAUGUGUUGGCAGGAAAGGGUUUGGCUUUUGUUUUCCCAGGUGUGCAGAGGUCUGGCUAACAGCACUGAGUUAAUGGAGCUCUACCCCGGAACAUUUCCCCCCAUAAUUAUGGCAAUGGUAAUUUUGGGUAAAAAGUUCUUCAAAGCAUUGGCACUGAUAUCUGAUUUAAGAAUAUGUGGAGAGUUAACAGAUGGGCAGUGGAUUCAGGCCUGCGAUAGAGUUACUGAGGGAGGUUUUGUUUUAAAAUGUCUCUUACUUAAUAUACCCAUGAAGGCCAGGCAUGUGCCCAUGGGCUGUAAUCAAAUAACUGACUCUCCCUCUCUCAUUUCCAGCAGUCUCGUUUCAGGUUACUGGCACCGGAGGUUAAAGAACAUCCACGUCAAAUACAAAAAGCCCUUUGGUAAUUAAGGGUAUCGAGACUAGGCGGAGGAGAAUGGAAAUGGCUAGCUCUCAGCACAUGAUAGGUCUAAUCUAAGGGCCUGUAUAAUUAACAUACAUUACUUUCUGCAGGGGUAAAGGUUUAUAUGGGAUCUGGUUAAUUCUAAUAUAAGAGAUAGUCCUGUCUGCAUUACACAGGAGUGGCGGAAGCUAGGCUUAUUUCCCGGCUGGUCUUUAGUUAGUAGGUGCGGCAGUUCUGUUCCCAAGGCAGGCAGGUCCCAGAUCUCAGUUCCAGUGAGAAGAAUGUUAAAGGGCUAAGGGAGGCAACAGGGAGUUGUCAGGUAGACAACACAGCAUCAUUCAUCAAGUACUGACAGCUUUACUGGAAACCAAAGACAAAAUGUGCAAUAGUUAUGCUCCUGGGUAAACAUAGCAUUCAUUAUGUCAUUUUUAGGAGUGUUCAGGAUCAGUGACUCAGUUGGUCUCUAAACGAGACCUAGGAAUGUUAUUUCUCAAUAUUGUCAUGGAUGAGUCUGAGAAUCCACAUUUAUCAGUCUACAAGAUGGAUGUAAAAGGUUGCAAUGCAUGGGUUAGCUACAUAGAACAUUGGAUACAGUUCUUCAUCUAGUUCUGCUUGGUACAUCUUCAGAUACUUACCAAGGUUUGGAUUUAACCCAACCAAGUAUGCCACCUUUCGAUUCAUUUAUACGUGGAUCACCAACUCAAUAGCACAGCUGAGUGUGACAGAAUAUAGGAUCAAAAGAUUCAUCCAAAAAGUUUGAGACAUUUUAUUCAUAUAUAAGGAUUACCAUGGCACUGAUCACUGUCAUAUCUAAUUUGUGGUUUGGAGACAAUGAGAUUGUUCUAGCUGUUACCACUGAGAUAUUUGUGUUCUUUGAUAAAAUACUAAAAAAAUAAUUCAAUGAGGUUUAGGUCUGUGGCUACUCUGAUGUCCUAGGUCAGGAUCCUUCCCCCAGAAGGACCCAUGGAUUGCUGUUGGUGAUGCAUUGGCUGGAGGAUGCCAAGCUAAAAUCAUUUAGUAAAACACAUGAAGUGGAAUCAAGUGAAGGUUGUUCUUCUCUUUGUCUGAAGAUGUUUGCCGGUACUGAAUGUGCUAGUGGGAGGUGAUAUGGGAGGAAACUAAUUCAUAAUAAGACUUUUGCCCACUUUGAGACUGUUUAAGGAACCGUGGCCAGCCUGGUGCCAAAAAAGGCAAAUCCAUAUAGCAAAGAAACAAUGGAGAGCCACAGAACUUGUUCUGUUUAACCAUUUCUUUGCUGACUGACUACUGUCUUGUGAAGUAAAUUCAGUACAUACACACACACACACACACACACACACACUUUACUGGCAGUGUUCCACCAACUGGCUUCAUGCUGUAACUUCUCACGCAUCACUGUCUUAUUGUAGUAGAACAGGGAUGGCCAAACCAUGGCUCGUGAGCCACAUGUGGCUCUUUUACAAUUAAAGUGCAGCUCUCAGAGCCCCCCUAUUCUCCACCUACCAGACUACUUGGAAGAGCUCGGGGCUUCUGCCCUGCGGUGGGGUGCUGGGGCUAGGAGCUUCUGCCCGGAAGGGAGGGGGUCUUGGGGCUUCAGCCCUGCAGAAGGCACCUGCCAGGGCUCGGGGCUUCAGCAGGAGCAGGGCUAAAGCCUCGUGCCCUAGCAGGUGCGCCCUGAGGGGUAGAAACCCUGAGACCCCCCAGCCCUGCAGGGCAGAAGCCCUGAGCACCGGCUCUCAAACUUCUGAAGAUUAUUGUAUGCAGCUCGCAGGGUCAGUAAAUUUGGCCAUCCCUGUACUAGAAUUACCAGAAUCUGAGAGCCAUAGCCUCAAGCAUCAAGGUAUUACCCCCUUGCUGUGAUGGCCCAUUCAUAUUUCAAAGAAAGCAAUGGAAUUUUUCACUUGACCAGAGCUCAAAGAGCCGGGAAGCUAGGACUUACUUGGGUCAUUCUUCAGGAUUCAAGCAGGGAAGGCUGUAGGUGGGAGGAGCAGUACUCUUAGGCAGGUGUGGCUGUGAAUGUUGUCCUGUUCUGGAGAAUGAGUUGUUUUCCCCACAGAGACAGAGUGGUCUAGUGAAGAGGCCAUAUACUGGAAGUCAGGAGAUCUGGAUCGCAUUCCUGAUUCUGCCACUAACUCAGUCUUUGAUGUUAGGCAAAGUCACUUAACAUCUCCAUGCCUCAGUUUCUCUAUCUGUAAAAGAGAAAUGAUGAUACUUUGCAAAGUGCUUUGAGUUCUAUGGAUAAACAUAGGACCUCAUUUAUUACUAUUGUUAGUCUUUCUAUUUUAGUAGCAUCCAAAUGCCCUAAUCAGGAUUGAGGCCCCAUAAGGCAUGGAUACUGUCUCAGAGUGUUUUUUAUUAUUUCCACUUGACAUAGGUAAGCACAACUACAGUCCCAGUUUGGUUAGGUUAUAGCAUUGAAGCAAGCCUUUAAAACGUGCUACUUGUGUAAAUCUAUAUAAAAAUAUACCCAAUAAGGAACAAGUAGAGCUGUACAAUGUGUUUGCCUUCCAGUUAAUGCCAGGAUAGGGGGGCACAGAUCAGCAUUCAUGUCUCACUCCCCGUCGGUAUCCGGCCUGAGCCGGGGAACCCAAUGAUCCAAGCAGCGGACCCAAUUCGGUGAUAAACCCUACUCAUAUGCCACCUGAGGCACAUUGCACAUACUCUAAGAAGAAGAAGAAUGCCAGGUCACUCAUACCUUGCCCUCCUGACCUCAGACACUGCCUCCUGAGCAAAGUGAGGGAUGACUGCUCAUCAGUUCAGAGGAACUUGCCUGUACUGUGAAUAUCAUUAACAUCAAGGACACAUUAAGGACUAUUUGUAAUCGUUUGUCACCAAGGUAAACAGAGAAGCAGAUUUGUGAAUGAAGCUGAUUGGACCGAAAUAUGGGGUGCAGCAAGAAUAGAGACAUUUUUGAGAUGUUACUAGAGGACAGGGAACAGAAUUCUAGGAUGACCUUAACUCUCAGCGAUAAUAGAGUAGAACAAGCCCAUAGUAUUUAUAUGGACUUGUUUAACAUUCCAUGCUGUUUGUAGGUGUAUACGUGGGGUGUCUGUGUUCUCUCUAUAAGAGGAUUUCUGGGCUGUCUGUCCCUUAGGCAGCACCAAUAUUAAGGAGAUAAAAGAUUUUAUAAAUGAAGGCUGCAAUUGUUCGGAUGUGCUGGGAACUAUUUCUAAACAUGCACAUUGGUGACUGAUUUAUACAUGUUGUCUGUGCACUGGAAGAGGAAAGAAAGAUUUGCUGGUACUUAGCAUAACUGUUGCAGGAAGAAAAAAGCAGUGGAGAAAGGUGUGGCAGUGUGUUGUGUUAUCUGUCUGUGCUUAGUAAUGCAUAGCCUCCUUCCUGCAAAGAUAUAGGUCAGACAAACUAUGCACAUAAUUAUAAUUUUUCCUGGUCACUCCAACAACUUAAAAAAUCUGGAUCUGAACACACUGGCAUCACUGAAGUAGUUUGGAUCUGUAGCUAAGACAGUAUCACAGGUCAUUUUCUCUAUAACAAACCAAACACCUGCAUCAGAACCCCCUUGAAUUUUCAGCAUGGCCCAUCUGUAUCCUGAACCAGAUGUGUCUCAUGAUGUGGAGAUGGCAUAACUGUCUCUGUAAAUUCAUCUGGAAUACACAUUAAAGGAACCUAAAUGGAGUAUGUAGUAUUCAUGGUGGGUUUAUGUGUAAUCAAAAUUAUAUGCAGUUUUGCUCACCAUAUUCCUUAGAUGUGAAACUAUCAUUUGUAGUAUUGAGAUGCCCAUGCAGAUGUAGCUAAAAUCCUGCAGUCAUGUUUCCUAAUACGAGAAUAAUCUAACUACCAACUACAGGAGAAGAGAUCCAUAACUAAGUAGAAAUUACAACCAAUUGAAACGGGGAAAACUAAAAAAUAAACCUAAUACACAGUUUCCUUAAGAAAAGGACUCAUGGUUAACAAGUGUCACCCAUGAUGCCCCCCACACUUUAUGUAAUGGAGUUUUAAAAUAGUUUGGCCAUAACUAUAUUAGCAGCUUUUUGAGUGGAACCCAAGGUGGAACAAUCCCUGUCCCAAGGAUCUUAGUGCAUCUGCAAUUGGUACUGCUGUGCCAUCUACAGAGCAAAAGUCCCCACAUGAAUUCUCACCUAAUGCCAAAAUGGAGAACAGAUGUUUCAUUUUACAAGUAUUGAACAAAGAUGGCAUCAGGUGCCUCGGGUCCCCAGAUAUCAAAGUGAUCGUUUGAUUUAAGAAUGUAACAAUGAGCAACCAACUGGUAAGAAACAGCUAAGGACCAAUAUCUAAUUGAGACCAGCUGGUCUCCAGGGUUUCUACAUAUGAAUUCAAUUAGUCUCUGCGUCAGUAAUUCUCUGUUCCCACCCUGUCAUGGUUUUGGAAUAAAUACUGUACUAUUGCCAUGGAUCUCCAGGUGCUGAGUGUGUGUCCCGUAGUUAUACAGUCCUUGUCUAGUGAUGGCUUUGUCUUUUUCUUUCUCUCUUUUUAAACUCUGCUUUUAGAUUCUGUUCUCUGGCUUUUCAUGCUUGGAGGUUACCCGUAUAAUUGUGAGCCAGUGAGAACACAAUAAAAGUCAUCAUAAAUUCAGGAUCACAUGGCAUCUAGGUCUGAUGUUCCUUCUUUUACCAUUAUUAAGACGAUAAUAAGCAUGUUUACAUUUUUAUAAUAAUUUUGCACUAUGCAUAGACAGCCUAAUUCUCUGUUGUGCUUAAGCCCCUUUAUGUUGAUUUUGGUUGAUUUGAAUAAAGGAUCCUUAAACCAGAAGGCAGCAAUCACUUCCAGGGACUGCCCCCGGUGUGAGAAGAUUCCCUGGCCAGCUAGAGGUGUCAGAAAGACUUACACCAAGCUCCUCUCUGGUCCCCAGUGCAGGGUGUGUGUCAGAGGGGAAGGGCUGUGCCUUUAAGGGAUCAUUGUUGGACCAAAUAUAAGUUUGAGCUGCGGAGCAGCCAUCAGUCCUUCUUAAGUCAAUGGGAACUUCGAGCGCUUUGUACAUCUGCAAAUCAGGCCACUGCAUUAGAAGGAAAAUUUUCAAAGGCACACAUGGAAGUGAAGCACCCAGCUUCCAUAGACUUUUACUGGGAGCUGGACAACUAACUGCGCUUCCUACCUUUGAAAAUCUCCCUCUGGAACCAAAAUAUGUAUUUAGGAGUCCUUUGAACAGUUUGCCUUAAAUAUCUGAGACUACAUUUCUAACCUAGGCAAAAUGCAUUCUAAUUUCUGCAAUGCUGAAUACUGGCUCCUCUUACUCACAGUGCCAAACUUCACUGAUAGUAUUGCAUCUGAAACCACCAACUUACAAUUAUGUAACAGUAGCAUGGUUUUAAAAGAUGCUGUCCUUGUAAUAGGACACAUGAAGGUGGAAAUUACCAUUUGUCUGACCGCUACCAAACUUUAGAGCUGACAAACAGCUGUUUUCCUGUGUAAGGAAGUUCGUUCAUGCAGAAUUCAGAAAAUUAGCUACUAUGAUCAUUCAAAUCUAAUCGUUGAGCUUUUUAGCCCUUUUUAAAAUAUAUAUAUUUAAAGGUGUGGUUCAGUACCCCAUGCUGUGUUUACCAAGCUGUGUAUUUACACUUAUUUACUACUUUUCAGAAUUCAAAGUGAUUAGGGAAAAAUGGAAGAAUUCAUGCUGCAGGACAGGUCUGAACAAAGAAGAGCAGAACAUGGAGAAGUGCAGGGACUUGGCUCCUGCUGGAAAGAAAGUGCAAAAAGUGAAGCUACUGCUCCCUGUGAGCUCUGCUUCCUUGCAUUUGAUUUCAUUUUUAUGUUAGCAGGGAGACGCUCAUUUACUGCUUGCUGCUGCCGUUUCUGGAAAGUACAUGUUCCAGUUGCAGUUUCCUAUGGAACGUCUUUACCAAUGAAGAGACCAUCAGGAUCUAACUGCUGUAUCUGGAAACCCUUGGGGGAGAGAGGCACAUUUCUAGCUUGUCAUUCUGCCUGGAUGAGAUUGGAGGCUCAUUACCGAAUUAGAAUAUUAUAAACCUAACAACACACAGCUAAAUUUCAGGUUUCCAAAGUCAUUCUUCAUAACUCCCCCUCUCCCACCCCCUCCCCCACCCAAUAGACUGCAGCCCCUUUGUCAGAUAAACUUUCUAAAGAACAGCACUGAAGAGGAAGGCAGGAGGGAAAGAGCAGCAGAGUGGAGUGAUUAGAAAAUGGAACAGGUUCUCAUUGGGGUGCAGAGCAUGUACGAAUUACUCGAGACAUUAUGGAUGACAGGCAUCAUUUCAUCCUGGAUCCCACCGUGACUGUAAACUUGCUCAUCUGUGCAUUUGCUACAGGCCUAGAAUAUUUUACAGUUCAAGUUAUCCUAAGCACCGUUAUUUCCUCCUUUUUCUCAAGAAGGCUCUGGAAUAGACACCUGAUCAAGAAGACCACUGUACCCAUUUUUCCUUCAUGAUGGAACUGCCUAUUAUCGCUGGCUUGAGGAAUUGGUGGUGGACUACAGCGCUGUACGUCACUAGUUCAACUGUGACGCCAUUCAGCAUGAAUAAAAAUUGGUGAAUUAUGAGAAUGGAAUGGAUCCGGUACCUAUAGCAUUUUUUUAAUACUACCCUAAUCACUGUGGUACCCAAACUCCUAAUGACAAGAAUUGCAAAAACAACCCAAAAUGUGCUAUUAGAGGUUGGACUGCUUAGUGCCCUUAUCCAUUGAGUGAACGUAGAGACUCAGUUAUCCUCCUACCCGUAUGGACAUUUGCUCCAGGACAGGGUUUUGGAGUAGCAUGGGAGAAGCUGUUGUUGCUCUAUUUGUGGAAUGGGUGUGGCAUGGACAUCAGCACUUCCAUCUCCUGCAUUAAUUCGCUUAUUUUUUAAAGGAAUGUUAAAGAAUAUGUAUGUAUGUGUAUAAAUAUAAAUAAAAUAUUACCCAUUUCAAGUUACUUUGAGACAGAUUAGGAGUCAGCUGGCUGUAGCCAAAGUUGUGACUAGCAUUUUUGGGAAAAUACCUUAUUGUAUCAAAACAGGUCAAGUGUAACGUGAAAUGCAUGGCUAGGGUGUGCAGAGAUGCAGUGCAGCAGGACUGUGGGGUUUUCUCUUUUAAACCAAGUUUCUGUUAUCCCUGAAGGGAGAACCAAAGUCAUUUAACUUCUUAACAUAAAAGAAGAGACAGAAGGAAAACUUCCUCCUUUGCCUCUUUCAGGUUGUGGCAUUUCUAGAAAGCUGCUGAAUCACAUCCUUAUGAUACAUCGUCAUGGAAAUGGGCCCCCUCAGAUUUCACUCAUGGAAGCAGCAUCCUAUUUACUUACAUUUCAUAGAUGGUUAAGUCCAGAAGAGACCUUUCUGAUCAUCUAAUAUGACCUCCUGCCAACACAGGCCAUAACUCCUGCUUUGGAGCAAAUUUAUUUUCACCAGUACUCCCUACUAUAAUAUGAAACUACAUUAUUUCUAAAUCUUCCUU